RNAcentral lists this ribosomal RNA (516 nucleotides) under Triticum aestivum (bread wheat). RNAcentral describes it as "partial small subunit ribosomal RNA". The record is from RNAcentral. Lineage: Eukaryota; Viridiplantae; Streptophyta; Magnoliopsida; Poales; Poaceae.
AUGUGGCAUGGAGAGAGAAGCACAAGCACAGGUAACAUCACAGUUCCACAAUUUGGUCUCUGCUGCAAGGAAGGGAAAGUUAAAUUACCACCACUGAAACAAGCUCCGCUGUAUCUCCGACAGCUACUACGUUACAAUGAAAGAGGAGAAUCAUCAAAUUUCCGCAAGAACAUCAGGUUGUACAACUCGAUGUUCGCAUUCACUUCAAUGGGAGGAAAGGUUGACUAUGAAAUUAAUAAGCAGGCAUCUGGACCGUAUGUUUUCCGUUUGAAUGGCCAGAAUUACCAUCAUAUUGGCACUUUACUUCCUAAAGAUGACGUGACGAAGCCAAAAUUUGCCCAAUUGUACAUACAUGACAUAGAAAAUGAAGUGCAGAAUAGGAUUAAUGCAUCUGCUUCAACGGAGAGUAAGACACAACCAGAUGAAAACAUUGUCAAAGGACUACUGGAGAUGCUUGAUGAGCACAAUGUUUUACUCAAAUCAUUUCAUAUGGCAAGGGACAGAUUCCAAAACUGA